RNAcentral lists this ribosomal RNA (495 nucleotides) under uncultured bacterium. Its description in RNAcentral is "partial 16S ribosomal RNA". It matches the Rfam family "Bacterial small subunit ribosomal RNA", at positions 28 to 507 of the family's 1533-position model. The record is from RNAcentral.
GACGAACGCUGGCGGCGUGCCUAAUACAUGCAAGUAGAACGCUGAAGGAGGAGCUUGCUCUUCUGGAUGAGUUGCGAGCGGGUGAGUAACGCGUAGGUAACCUGCCUGGUAGCGGGGGAUAACUAUUGGAAACGAUAGCUAAUACCGCAUAACAGUAGAUGUUGCAUGACAUUUACUUAAAAGGUGCAAUUGCAUCACUACCAGAUGGACCUGCGUUGUAUUAGCUAGUUGGUGGGGUAACGGCUCACCAAGGCGACGAUACAUAGCCGACCUGAGAGGGUGAUCGGCCACACUGGGACUGAGACACGGCCCAGACUCCUACGGGAGGCAGCAGUAGGGAAUCUUCCGCAAUGGACGGAGGUCUGACCGAGCAACGCCGCGGUAGUGAAGAAGGUUUUCGGAUCGUAAAGAUCUGUUUUAAGAGAAGAACGAGUGUGAGAGUGGAAAGUUCACACUGUGACGGUAUCUUACCAGAAAGCGACGGCUAACUACGUG